Molecule: RNA transcript, 1305 nt
Organism: Hevea brasiliensis (rubber tree)
Lineage: Eukaryota; Viridiplantae; Streptophyta; Magnoliopsida; Malpighiales; Euphorbiaceae
Gene name: classical arabinogalactan protein 26
Exons: 3
Source: RefSeq, a predicted model, not a curated record
ACUACUCACCAGAGACCCUUUAAGCCUUAAUCACGAAUCUCCUCAAAAUUUUUCCAUAGUACCUCUCUCUCUCUCUCUGCGCACAUUUAUUGAAGUUCACAACAGGUGAAUUGAUUUCCUUAUCAUUAAUGGCUUCCUUUUGGUCAUUCUUGGCAACUUUCAUGGUUUUCGUGGCCUAUUUUAUUUCACCAGCUUUUACAUCUCAAGUACAUGUACAAUUCUCUACUAUAUCAGCAGCUCCUGCACUCUUGCCUGAAGCUCCCUUAUCCUCUCCUCCAAAUUUAUCACCAGACAUUGAGCCUGUGUUUCCUACCACUGGAGCUGGGGUACCUUCUCCAGCUGAGUCAUCACUUCCCACCAUUCCUUCAAGCCGAAGCCCUCCAAAUCCAGAUCUCAUUGAUCCAGCUCCGGGGCCUGUGUUUGCUGUGUCACCAUCUGGGUCUUUACCAGCUUCUUCUGCUACUUCUCUGAGUUCAUUAGCAACUCUAAAUCUAGCUCUCUACUUUCUUGGUUUGCUGGUGUUUUGCUUGGUGCAGCUUUCUGCUUUGUGAGAUUGAGCAACCAUUUAUGGAUCUGCUUCUACUAGACAUGUUGAGCUUACACAUUACUGAUCUUCAUCUAAACUAUGAUUCCAUUAGUGGCUGACGGUUUUCUGAUAUGAACUGUAUCUACAAGCUACUUGUUGGCUCCAACCUUUACCUAGGGAGCUGGUACACUCCCACGAGAUUUUGAAAAGCCAUUGAAAAGCUUCCCUGAAAAUACCUCCUUCAACUUCUCCAACAUAAAGGGCUCGUUUUCUUGGGGGAGCCUUUAGCUACAUGCUUCCUGAGCUGCACAUUUUCCAGCUUAAGCACUUCUAUAGCCAAACUGAGUUGCCUUAUAACCUCUCUCUUCUCUUCAUCUUUCUGCAGAAGUUGUUCACUCUGAAUUCUGUUCUCUUCUUUGAGUAUUUCUAUUUCGUCCUGCAUCUUCAUCACCUCAUCAUUACAGACUGAACCUGAAACUUCAACUUCACCAGUUUCUAUUUUCUGUUCAGGCUCCUCAACUUCUCCCAUUUCUUCUUCAAAUUCAGUUUCCUCUUCCUGUCCAGGAUCUUCAACUUCAGACUCAGCAGAGUACGUUUCAGAAUCAGAAUGGCUGUCAUAGAUUUUAUUCAUCCCACCCGUUAACUUCUGCCGUUGAUAUUUGAUUGUUGUUAGGCGAUUUCCAGAGUCAGAUUUAAGUAGAUCAUAUUGCUCAGCUAAUGAUCGAUGUGUCCUGUAAAAAUCUUCAACCAUGCUAAUGAGCUCAGGCCGUUUCUUAUAA